This 421-nucleotide long non-coding RNA is filed under the name Eutrema salsugineum. RNAcentral's name for it is "long non-coding RNA (ESAL_LNC002002)". Lineage: Eukaryota; Viridiplantae; Streptophyta; Magnoliopsida; Brassicales; Brassicaceae. The record is from RNAcentral.
GGGAUUGGCGGUGGCUUGUGUACCGGAACCGGGGGUGGGUGCUCUAUCUUUGGUGGCGGCUUGUAAACCGGAACCGGAGGUGGGUGCUCUACCUUUGGCGGCGGCUUGUAAACCGGAACCGGUGGUGGAUGCUCUAUCUUUGGCGGUUUAGGCGGACAAGGCUUCUUAGGAAUCGGCGGUGGGAGCUCCACCUUUGGAGGUGGUUUGUGAACCGGGACAGGAGGGGGAAGCUCUACCUUUGGAGGUGGCUCGUGAACCGGGACAGGUGGGGGAAGCUCUACCUUAGGCGGUGGCUCGUGAACCGGGACAGGUGGCGGAAGAUCAACCUUUGGGGGUGGGUCGUAAACCGGGACCGGAGGUGGGCAAGGUUUCUUGAAUUUGGGGAACGGUGGAAGCACCAAAGGUGGAGGUAAAGGGAAAG